UUAUAAGAGACAGCAGCAGCCACGGUAAUACGUAGGGUGCAAGCGUUAAUCGGAAUUACUGGGCGUAAAGCGUGCGCAGGCGGUUAUAUAAGACAGAUGUGAAAUCCCCGGGCUCAACCUGGGAACUGCAUUUGUGACUGUAUAGCUAGAGUACGGCAGAGGGGGAUGGAAUUCCGCGUGUAGCAGUGAAAUGCGUAGAUAUGCGGAGGAACACCGAUGGCGAAGGCAAUCCCCUGGGCCUGUACUGACGCUCAUGCACGAAAGCGUGGGGAGCAAACAGGAUUAGAUACCCCGGUAGUCCCUGUCUAUUAUAC
This 314-nucleotide ribosomal RNA is filed under the name uncultured bacterium. RNAcentral's name for it is "partial 16S ribosomal RNA". It matches the Rfam family "Bacterial small subunit ribosomal RNA", at positions 499 to 807 of the family's 1533-position model. The record is from RNAcentral.